Myotis davidii is the source of this 1084-nucleotide long non-coding RNA. RefSeq lists it as uncharacterized. The record is from RefSeq and is a predicted model, not a curated record. NCBI's taxonomy places the organism in Eukaryota, Metazoa, Chordata, Mammalia, Chiroptera, Vespertilionidae. The transcript is spliced from 2 exons.
CACAUACCUAGUUCCUGUUGGGGACGCUGGUCUUAGACUAGAGGCGCUGACAUCUCUGCCACGCUCGCUGCCUGGACCUGAGUUGGGUCCCAGUGCUGCCAGCACGUCGUCUGAGCCCUGCCCCAUGCACCUCUGCCUCAGCCACAGCCCAGCCCUGCAGCAGCUCCCGCAGGCUGGACCAGGGGAGCUGCGGUCGCAGCCGUCCUUUCGCUCCUGCUUGGCCCGACCUCCCGGACCCCAGAGACCCAAGAAGCAGGUGGUGUUCGCAGACAGGAAGGGGCUCGCGUUGACGUCGGUGCGCAGGUUUGAAGAGGCUGUGGGCAGAGACUCCGAAGAGGGCGCGUAUCCCGUGGCCAGUUUCCCGCGCGCAGCAACCACCCACACGCUGGGCAUCCCGGCACCCGGCCCGGACUCCGCGGGUCUCCCGGUACCUGCGGACUCCGAGCUGGUGCCCAGAGCAGCGCGCCUUGCAGGGAACCUUCCUGCGAGGCACCCUGCGGGGCAAGGGCUGCGAUUCUAGAAGCCAGUGCAGACGCUCAUCACCUUUGAUACUUGGGGCUCCUUCAAAGAAGUGCGCUGGGUUCCCACGCCCCGUUUUUUUGCGGGCGAGACUGACCGCUCCGCCUACAGGCGGUGUUGCCUCCAGGUCCCCCAAGACCGGUGGGCACCAUGCGUCUCUGCUUCUCUCUCGUGUGCUCAACAGCUUUGGGGGAACAGUAACCAAGGACAAAACUGUUGUGUGUACUCAGUUCACAGUCCUGCACAUCAGAACGACAUUGAACUCCGUGGGCCUACAGAUCGGGGGAGCCCUGGGGGUACUGUUGCCGCACAGGCAAAGCUUGAAUUCCUUGCGCAGGAAACUUCGUUCAGACCCUUCUGGCUCCGGGUCGCACAGUGGGGAGACAGGAUUCAGCCCCAAACCACGCAGAAGGCCCUGAAUGCCUUGCACUCUGGUCUCCCUCACUUCCUGACCAGAGGGAAGAGAUUUCCUCCAGGAAACCUGGGAAUGGCGCCCUUUAUGGUUUGCAGGGACGCCCUUGGAGUGCGGAAGCAGAAGAAAUGGAAAUAAAGCUUUUAGAUGUGA